Long non-coding RNA from Cyprinus carpio (common carp), 601 nucleotides. RefSeq lists it as uncharacterized. The transcript is spliced from 4 exons. NCBI's taxonomy places the organism in Eukaryota, Metazoa, Chordata, Actinopteri, Cypriniformes, Cyprinidae. The record is from RefSeq and is a predicted model, not a curated record.
ACUUACAUUAGCCUUUAUAUUAAGCACAUCUUUUAUUAGCAACCGUGUAAAGGUAGAGAACAGUUUGGCCUCUAGUUUAAUGCGUUUGCAAACAAAACUUUGUCUUCCUGAGGUUCCAUUUUUUAACAUUUGGAGCCGGAGAAAGCGAUAGGAUCCAAGGUGUUUGUAAUUGUAAUUUGGCUGUUCUUCUCUUUUCUUUUUUUUUUGUGCACAGGGCAAAGCCAGCUAGCGAGACUGAGUGUGAAGAUGUCCAGAAACUGCUGGCACUGUGGAAGACUUGGCAGAUGUGAAUGUAAUUGAUACUUCGGGAACUGACUGAAGAGGCUCAGAAUUGGCACUUGACUUUAUGAUCCUGAAAGAGUGCUGAACUUUCUUCCUGAUGAGCUCUGAUGGUGUACAGCUGUGCCUAGCGAUGCGCCACCAGACGUGGCCUGUUCCUCCGAGCCAUGUGUUGGCGGUUGGCCGCCAUCCUUGAUGCUGAACAGGCGCAGCUGUGAAAGGAACAUCGGUCGCGAACGCACAGAUGCCUUCACCAGAGUUUGGCCUAAUAAAACCCUUCACCCCCAAGAGUGGAGAACCUGUCAGCGAAUUAUGAAUGAUA